CCUACGUUUCAUCUAAUGAAUGAGCAGCAGACUUGUUUCCUGUGAUGACCUCUGAAUGUCUGCUGCUCGUCUCCGUAUCAGGACAUCACAGCCUGCAUUACGGCUUUCCUUUGACGGUGUCCUCUUGUAGUACGUCACCCCUGAUCCAGCUUUAAGUUUUGGACUACACUUCCCAUGAUUUGGAAGGUUUGGGGGAUGUAAACAGGAAGUAUAAUGCAGCCGUGGAUUCAGUGACUUAGCUAUUGGCUCCAACUUAAGCCAUAUUUGUUUUGUCUAUUUGUUUACAUUUAUUCAAAUUGUCUCCAUUAAAAGUAUGCUGAAUUAGCUGUUAGCCGUCCCUUUGCAGUGUAACUAAGGAAGUACUUAACUAGCGCUGUGUUACUCUGAUGCAAGAAGCUUCUGCAGCCUCUUUCUUUCUGAGGUGGACGUCAGAGAUAAAACAUGUCAGUCACAUUGAGCUGGUAAAGAGGAGCAGGAGUCCUGUAGAUCCUCCUACCUGUCUCUUGAGGGUCACCAGCUCCAUGUCCAGCUGACGGAGGAGGGUGUUGGCGGCGGAGGCGUUGCAGGACACGGCCACCACGUCCUCCUGGGUCAGUUUCAGCAGCUCGGGUGCGUCCACGUACCUCUUUCUUGGUUUCCUUGUUGGGGUCGUAGUCGCUGUCGUUGGCUUCAACGGGAGCGGCCUCCUCCAUCUCCUCAUCACUACGGCAACAACAAGAAAACACAGUUUAAAUAUCAACAACAAAUUAAAGCUACAACAAAGAUGUGUCCCGAACAGACACAUGAUGUCACACCAAAGAAGAAGAACGGAAAAAACGAGAUAUGACAAAUAAUAAGUUGUAACGUCUUUAACACAAGAGAUGCACCGAACAGUUUGAAGCUUCAUUCGUAACGUUGACAUUCAAAUUCUAAAUCAACGUUCGAAUGCUGCACGGACUUUAAACAAAUGAAAUGUGUAUUUCUCUUCUUUCUGUCGGACGCUGCAGUGACAUGCAGAUCAAGCUGUAAUCAGGAAUUGAGUUGUUACAAUAAGAAAAGGUCGUUAUGUGUCGACGCUCGCUUCGUGCUCCAAA
This is a long non-coding RNA of Cottoperca gobio, 1073 nucleotides long. RefSeq lists it as uncharacterized. NCBI's taxonomy places the organism in Eukaryota, Metazoa, Chordata, Actinopteri, Perciformes, Bovichtidae. The record is from RefSeq and is a predicted model, not a curated record. The transcript is spliced from 3 exons.